RNAcentral lists this ribosomal RNA (458 nucleotides) under uncultured bacterium. Its description in RNAcentral is "SSU rRNA". It matches the Rfam family "Bacterial small subunit ribosomal RNA", at positions 26 to 518 of the family's 1533-position model. The record is from RNAcentral.
AGAAUCAACGCUGGCGGCGUGCCUAACACAUGCAAGUCGAACGAGAAAGUGGAGCAAUCCAUGAGUAAAGUGGCGACCGGGUGAGUAACACGUGACUAACCUACCUUCGAGUGGGGGAUAACAUCGGGAAACCGAUGCUAAUACCGCAUAACAUCGCAAGAUCAAAGCAGCAAUGCGCUGGAAGAGGGGGUCGCGGCUGAUUAGCUAGUUGGCGGGGUAACGCCCACCAAGGCGAAGAUCGGUAGCCGGCCUGAGAGGGCGCACGGCCACACUGGAACUGAAACACGGUCCAGACUCCUACGGAGGCAGCAGUGGGGAAUUUUGCGCAAUGGGGGAAACCCUGACGCAGCAACGCCGCGUGGAGGAUGAAGCCCCUUGGGGUGUAAACUCCUUUCGACCAAGACGAUAAUGACGGUACUGGUGGAAGAAGCACCGGCUAACUCUGCGCCAGCAGCCGC